CAAGUGAAGGGUUUGAUCCUGGCUCAGAAUGAACGUUGGCGGCGUGGAUUAGGCAUGCGAGUCGCGCGAGAAUGUAGCAAUACAGGAAAGCGGCGAAAGGGAGAGGACAACAUGGGAAUCUGCCCGGGGGACGAGGAUAGCGUCGGGAAACUGACGGUAAUACUCGAUAAUGUUUGCGGACCAAAGGUGAGAUUCCGCCCCUGGAUGAGCCCAUGCCCCAUUAGCUUGUUGGCGGUGUAAUAGACCACCAAGGCGAUGAUGGGUAGCUGGUGUGAGAGCACGACCAGCCUCACUGGCACUGAGACACUGGCCAGACACCUACGGGUGGCUGCAGUCGAGAAUCUUCGGCAAUGGACGAAAGUCUGACCGAGCGACGCCGCGUGCGGGACGAAGGCCUUCGGGUUGUAAACCGCUGUCGUAGAGGAUCAAAGGUAAUUGGGUUCUCCCUUUUAUUUGAGUGAUUCUAGGAGGAAGGAGAGGCUAAGCUCGUGCCAGCAGCCGCGGUAAGACGAGCUCUCCAAACGUUAUUCGGUAUCACUGGGCUUAAAGAGUUCGUAGGCGGCUUUGUAGGUGGGGUGUGAAAGCCCUCGGCUUAACCGAGGAACUGCGCCCCAAACCACAAGGCUUGAGAUCGGAAGAGC
RNAcentral lists this ribosomal RNA (641 nucleotides) under Planctomycetota bacterium. RNAcentral's name for it is "bacterial SSU rRNA". It matches the Rfam family "Bacterial small subunit ribosomal RNA", at positions 1 to 657 of the family's 1533-position model. The record is from RNAcentral. Lineage: Bacteria; Pseudomonadati; Planctomycetota.